Molecule: ribosomal RNA, 250 nt
Filed under: Enoplea environmental sample
Lineage: Eukaryota; Metazoa; Nematoda; Enoplea
Description: partial small subunit ribosomal RNA
Rfam family: Eukaryotic small subunit ribosomal RNA
Source: RNAcentral
AGCUCCAAUAGCGUAUAUUAAAGUUGUUGCGGUUAAAACGCUCGUAGUUGGAUCUGCGGCCUCGGAGAACGGUCCCCCGAAAGGGUGGUCACUGUCUCUCCUAGCCUAAAUUCGAGUCGUCUCUAGGUGCUCUUUACCGGGUGCUUAGAGUGACUAGAACGUUUACUUUGAAAAAAUUAGAGUGCUUAAAGCAGGCGAAAUAGCCUGAAUAAGGUGCAUGGAAUAAUGGAAUAGGACCUCGGUUCUAUUU